This 693-nucleotide ribosomal RNA is filed under the name uncultured bacterium. RNAcentral describes it as "bacterial LSU rRNA". It matches the Rfam family "Bacterial large subunit ribosomal RNA", at positions 167 to 913 of the family's 2925-position model. The record is from RNAcentral.
UAGGUGUAGGAGGCGAACCCGGGGAACUGAAACAUCUAAGUACCCGGAGGAAAAGAAAUCAAUUGAGAUUCCCACAGUAGCGGCGAGCGACCUGGGAUCAGCCCUAAAGAACUUGGUGUGAUAGCGGAACGGUCUGGAAAGUCCGGCAAUAGAGGGUGAUAGCCCCGUACGCGAAAUCUAUCCUUGUUUUAUUCGAGUAGGUCGGGACACGUGUUAUCUUGACUGAACAUGGGGGGACCAUCCUCCAAGGCUAAAUACUACUGACUGACCGAUAGUGAACCAGUACCGUGAGGGAAAGGCGAAAAGAACCCCGGAGAGGGGAGUGAAAUAGAACCUGAAACCGUAUGCGUACAAGCAGUGGGAGCACCUUCGUGGUGUGACUGCGUACCUUUUGUAUAAUGGGUCAGCGACUUAUUGUCUGUAGCAAGCUUAACCGUUUAGGGGAGGCGUAGGGAAACCGAGUCUUAAUAGGGCGCAUAGUUGCAGGCAAUAGACCCGAAACCGGGCGAUCUAUCCAUGGCCAGGUUGAAGGUGCCGUAACAGGCACUGGAGGACCGAACCCACUAACGUUGAAAAGUUAGGGGAUGAGCUGUGGAUCGGAGUGAAAGGCUAAUCAAGCUCGGAGAUAGCUGGUUCUCCUCGAAAUCUAUUUAGGUAGAGCGUCGUGUCUUACCCUGAGGGGUAGAGCACUGU